RNAcentral lists this transfer RNA (59 nucleotides) under Thoradonta nodulosa. RNAcentral describes it as "tRNA-Arg". Lineage: Eukaryota; Metazoa; Arthropoda; Insecta; Orthoptera; Tetrigidae. RNAcentral also lists the same sequence under 1 other name. The record is from RNAcentral.
UAAUAAGAAGCUAAAAGCAAUCAGUUUCGACCUGAAGACAGGUAAAUUACCCUUAUUAA